Molecule: ribosomal RNA, 154 nt
Filed under: Tetrahymena pyriformis
Lineage: Eukaryota; Ciliophora; Oligohymenophorea; Hymenostomatida; Tetrahymenidae
Also listed under: 3 other names
Description: 5.8S ribosomal RNA
Rfam family: 5.8S ribosomal RNA
About the family: 5.8S ribosomal RNA (5.8S rRNA) is a component of the large subunit of the eukaryotic ribosome. It is transcribed by RNA polymerase I as part of the 45S precursor that also contains 18S and 28S rRNA.
Source: RNAcentral
AGAAAAUUUUCAACGGUGGAUAUCUAGGUUCCCGUGACGAUGAAGAACGCAGCGAAAUGCGAUACGCAAUGCGAAUUGCAGAACCGCGAGUCAUCAGAUCUUUGAACGCAAGUGGUGGAGGUGUAAAAACCUUCAUGUUUGUAUCAGUGUGGAA